Molecule: ribosomal RNA, 468 nt
Filed under: uncultured bacterium
Lineage: Bacteria
Description: partial 16S ribosomal RNA
Rfam family: Bacterial small subunit ribosomal RNA
Source: RNAcentral
GACGAACGCUGGCGGCGUGCUUAACACAUGCAAGUCGAACGGAAAGGCCCUGCUUUUGUGGGGUGCUCGAGUGGCGAACGGGUGAGUAACACGUGAGUAACCUGCCCUUGACGUUGGGAUAACUUCAGGAAACUGGGGCUAAUACCGGAUAGGAGCUCCUGCUGCAUGGUGGGGGUUGGAAAGUUUCGGCGGUUGGGGAUGGACUCGCGGCUUAUCAGCUUGUUGGUGGGGUAGUGGCUUACCAAGGCUUUGACGGGUAGCCGGCCUGAGAGGGUGACCGGCCACAUUGGGCCUGAGGUAGGGCCCAGACUCCUACGGGAGGCAGCAGUGGGGAGUAUUGCACAAUGGGCGGAAGCCUGAUGCAGCAACGCCGCGUGCGGGAUGACGGCCUUCGGGUUGUAAACCGCUUUCGCCUGUGACGAAGCGUGAGUGACGGUAAUGAGUAAAGAAGCACCGGCUAACUACGUG